AUGCUUCGUGCAUCUCCGGCCUUCCCCGCGUCCGCUAAGGCCCGACGCCCCUGCACCGUCCUUGGCCCUCGCGCCAUGGCCGGCCGCGCCUCGCGUGCUUCUGGCUCUCCACGCCGGCGAGCUCCAUCCCCCUGUAUCUGCUCCUACCGACAAGCACAACAGCGAGGACCGUUCGGGGCUUGCUACUUUGGCAUCUGGACAGUGCUUCGUGCAUCCCCGUCCUUCCUUGCAUCCGUCCCAGCACCAUGCUGCCUCAUCCAGCUUCGCUCCACUGCUCCCGCAGCCACACGCUCUCGUUGCUGGGUCGCCGCUCCGCCCCGUCGACUCGCGACCGGCCGCCUCCUCCGCAUCCGCGCGCUUGCCUGUCCGGCUCCGGGUCGCACCCGUCGGCUCCGCCCGCAGGCCGGCUUCCCUUCCUCGUGCGCAACCCGGCCGGCCGGCUUGGCCUCGGCAGUAUCCGCGCUGGUCCCGCUCCGGCCUCUGCUGAGCCCCUGCGAUCGGGCACCCCGCUCCUCGCCGGCUCGCUGCGGCUGGCUCCGCCUCCGUCCGCGUCCGGCCUCGCACGGUACCGGCCGCUUCCCGUCGCCCCCGCCUUCGCGUGCCGGCCCCGGGCCAGCUUCUCGUCGCCGCCUCGGGACCCCAAUCCGCCGUGCUGCUUCCGCGCCCACACCGGCUCCGGCUUCACCCCGCUCCGGCCGCUCCUCUACCGGGACCGCGCGCGCUGGCGGCGCCGUUCCGGCCUCCCUCCCGGCGCCCCUUCCUGGACGUGUCCGACCUUGUUCCGCACGCGCGCCGGCUCCACGCGUCCGCCCCUGGACGGCUUCCCCGCCGUCCCGACCGGCCUCUGCUGCCUCUCCCCUGGCCGGCCCCGUCCGGUGUCCCGCGACCCGGCUGCGCCCCGCGCUGGCCGGCUCCCCGCACUGGCCGGCUCGCGCCCGCUUCUCAGCCCGCGAGCACCUCCUCCGCAUCUGCCCGCGCCGGCCGGCUCGCCGCCCCUCCGCCGCCGGCUCCGCCCCAUGCGCCCGCGCCGCUGUGCCGCUCACCUCCUGUGUGACCCAGCGCCGGCUCCUCGCGUCGACCGGGCCGCCCGGCGCCCCGCCUCGCCUCCGCCGGGCCACCUUCGCCCUGGCCUUCCCCGCGCCCCGGACCACGCCUUUGUCCGGCUCGUUGUGUCGCGCCAAGUCCGACUCCCGUGCGCCUGCAACGACCAGCGCUCUGAAGAAAAGAAACAUAAGAAAGAAAGCUGCAGCCGACUGGGUCAACGUAGUGCGCCGGCUGGGCAAGACGGCUAAAAAGAAUGAUCCCGGCCAGAUAAAGAACCCGGCUGGUCAAGCCGGAUGUGAAAAAAAAGAGAGAGAAAAGAGAAAAGAGAGAGGCCGGUUGGUUCAGCACAGUGCGCCGCCUGAAGCAAAGAGAAAAGAAGUGGCCGGGUGCCUAGCCGGCUGA
Molecule: ribosomal RNA, 1446 nt
Filed under: Triticum aestivum (bread wheat)
Lineage: Eukaryota; Viridiplantae; Streptophyta; Magnoliopsida; Poales; Poaceae
Description: partial small subunit ribosomal RNA
Source: RNAcentral